Molecule: ribosomal RNA, 893 nt
Filed under: Escherichia coli
Lineage: Bacteria; Pseudomonadati; Pseudomonadota; Gammaproteobacteria; Enterobacterales; Enterobacteriaceae
Description: partial 23S ribosomal RNA
Rfam family: Bacterial large subunit ribosomal RNA
Source: RNAcentral
GCGAUACAGGGUGACAGCCCCGUACACAAAAAUGCACAUAUUGUGAGCUCGAUGAGUAGGGCGGGACACGUGGUAUCCUGUCUGAAUAUGGGGGGACCAUCCUCCAAGGCUAAAUACUCCUGACUGACCGAUAGUGAACCAGUACCGUGAGGGAAAGGCGAAAAGAACCCCGGCGAGGGGAGUGAAAAAGAACCUGAAACCGUGUACGUACAAGCAGUGGGAGCACGCUUAGGCGUGUGACUGCGUACCUUUUGUAUAAUGGGUCAGCGACUUAUAUUCUGUAGCAAGGUUAACCGAAUAGGGGAGCCGAAGGGAAACCGAGUCUUAACUGGGCGUUAAGUUGCAGGGUAUAGACCCGAAACCCGGUGAUCUAGCCAUGGGCAGGUUGAAGGUUGGGUAACACUAACUGGAGGACCGAACCGACUAAUGUUGAAAAAUUAGCGGAUGACUUGUGGCUGGGGGUGAAAGGCCAAUCAAACCGGGAGAUAGCUGGUUCUCCCCGAAAGCUAUUUAGGUAGCGCCUCGUGAAUUCAUCUCCGGGGGUAGAGCACUGUUUCGGCAAGGGGGUCAUCCCGACUUACCAACCCGAUGCAAACUGCGAAUACCGGAGAAUGUUAUCACGGGAGACACACGGCGGGUGCUAACGUCCGUCGUGAAGAGGGAAACAACCCAGACCGCCAGCUAAGGUCCCAAAGUCAUGGUUAAGUGGGAAACGAUGUGGGAAGGCCCAGACAGCCAGGAUGUUGGCUUAGAAGCAGCCAUCAUUUAAAGAAAGCGUAAUAGCUCACUGGUCGAGUCGGCCUGCGCGGAAGAUGUAACGGGGCUAAACCAUGCACCGAAGCUGCGGCAGCGACACUAUGUGUUGUUGGGUAGGGGAGCGUUCUGUAAGCCUG